RNAcentral lists this ribosomal RNA (320 nucleotides) under uncultured eukaryote. RNAcentral's name for it is "partial 18S ribosomal RNA". It matches the Rfam family "Eukaryotic small subunit ribosomal RNA", at positions 1470 to 1796 of the family's 1831-position model. The record is from RNAcentral.
CCCUUAGAUGUCCUGGGCCGCACGCGCGCUACACUGACGAAUGCAACGAGCUUAUAACCUUGGCCGAAAGGUCUGGGUAAUCUCCAAAUUUCGUCGUGAUGGGGAUAGAUUAUUGCAAUUAUUAAUCUUCAACGAGGAAUGCCUAGUAAGCGCAAGUCAUCAGCUUGCGUUGAUUACGUCCCUGCCCUUUGUACACACCGCCCGUCGCUCCUACCGAUUGAAUGGUCCGGUGAAAUCUCGGGACGGCGGCUUGGUCGCUUGCGUCCGACUGCUGAAACUUGAUUAAACCAUAUCAUUUAGAGGAAGGUGAAGUCGUAACA